This is a non-coding RNA of Amphiamblys sp. WSBS2006, 72 nucleotides long. The record is from Rfam. Lineage: Eukaryota; Fungi; Microsporidia; Amphiacanthidae.
GGCGACUUAGUUCAGUGGUAGAAUUCUCGCUUCGGAUGCGAGAGGUCGUGGGUUCAAUUCCCUCAGUCGCCC